Molecule: ribosomal RNA, 450 nt
Filed under: Prioneris philonome clemanthe
Lineage: Eukaryota; Metazoa; Arthropoda; Insecta; Lepidoptera; Pieridae
Description: partial 28S ribosomal RNA
Source: RNAcentral
AAACCUGCGAAACUCGAAUGAACGAACGGAGAGAUUCAUCGCCACUCCGCGGCGUACUAGCCCGCGCCUCGAUGCGCCGCGCCUCGGCGCGGACACGGGUCGGGCGUGUCGACGUCCGCGGACGGCGUGCACUUCUCUCUCAGUAAACUUAAUACAUCGCGACCCGUUCGAGGUACGGUCUAAGCGCGGUCCGCGGGAGCCGGACGGCGGCGUCUAAACAGCGCCAGCCGCCCGACCGCGAUCGUCGCCGACCUGCGUCGGACGGUAGUUGUUACUCGAAUCGCGCACGCGCCUCGCGCGCGUCAGGCCCGACGCAAGCGUUUCGCGUCGUCGCCCGUUUCCUGCCUAUGCGCGGACGCGGGCGCGGCGCCGCUGCCGUCGCAGCCGGUACAGUCUUCUGACCGUGCGCGUUUCAGUCUGCGAUGUUUCAGUUUCGGGCACUCGCAGGAC